GGACGAACGCUGGCGGCGUGCCUAAUACAUGCAAGUCGAGCGGACCUUUCGGGGUCAGCGGCGGACGGGUGAGUAACACGUGGGCAAUCUGCCCGAUACUCUGGGAUAACGCUUGGAAACGAGUGCUAAUACCGGAUGGUCUUCUUGGCCGCAUGGCCGAGAAGGAAAAGACGCGUUCGCGUCGGUGUCGGAUGAGCCCGCGGCGCAUUAGCUAGUUGGUGAGGUAACGGCCCACCAAGGCGACGAUGCGUAGCCGACCUGAGAGGGUGACCGGCCACACUGGGACUGAGACACGGCCCAGACUCCUACGGGAGGCAGCAGUAGGGAAUCUUCCACAAUGGGCGAAAGCCUGAUGGAGCAACGCCGCGUGAGUGAUGAAGGCCUUCGGGUUGUAAAACUCUGUCAUUCGGGACGAACCGGAGUCUGAGGAAAUGCAGACUCUCUGACGGUACCGGAGGAGGAAGCCCCGGCUAACUACGUGCCAGCAGCCGCGGUAAUACGUAGGGGGCAAGCGUUGUCCGGAUUCACUGGGCGUAAAGCGCGCGCAGGCGGUGAUGUAAGUCUGAGGUGAAAACCCGAAGCUCAACUUCGGGACUGCCUUGGGAUACUGCGUCACUUGAGGAUAGGAGAGGCAAAGGGGAAUUCCACGUGUAGCGGUGAAAUGCGUAGAGAUGUGGAGGAACACCUGUGGCGAAGGCGCCUUGCUGGCCUAUUUCUGACGCUGAGGCCGCGAAAGCGUGGGGGAGCAAACAGGAUUAGAUACCCUGGUAGUCCACGCUGUAAACGAUGAGUGCUAGGUGUAGGUGGGCUCAUACCCAUCUGUGCCGAAGCUAACGCAUUAAGCACUCCGCCUGGGGAGUACGGUCGCAAGACUGAAACUCAAAGGAAUUGACGGGGGCCCGCACAAGCAGUGGAGCAUGUGGUUUAAUUCGAAGCAACGCGAAGAACCUUACCAGGACUUGACAUCCCAUAGACCAGUCUAGAGAUAGACUUUCCCUUCGGGGCUGUGGUGACAGGUGGUGCAUGGUUGUCGUCAGCUCGUGUCGUGAGAUGUUGGGUUAAGUCCCGCAACGAGCGCAACCCUUACUUUGUGUUGCCAGCAUUCAGUUGGGCACUCACAAGGGACUGCCGCCGAUAAGGCGGAGGAAGGUGGGGAUGACGUCAAAUCAUCAUGCCCCUUAUGUCCUGGGCUACACACGUGCUACAAUGGGCGGUACAACGGGAUGCGAAGCCGCGAGGUGGAGCCAAACCCUGAAAACCGUUCGUAGUUCGGAUUGUAGGCUGCAACUCGCCUACAUGAAGCCGGAAUUGCUAGUAAUCGCGGAUCAGCAUGCCGCGGUGAAUCCGUUCCCGGGCCUUGUAC
RNAcentral lists this ribosomal RNA (1363 nucleotides) under uncultured bacterium. RNAcentral describes it as "bacterial SSU rRNA". It matches the Rfam family "Bacterial small subunit ribosomal RNA", at positions 27 to 1386 of the family's 1533-position model. The record is from RNAcentral.